UGGGGAAUAUUGGACAAUGGGCGCAAGCCUGAUCCAGCAAUGCCGCGUGAGUGAUGAAGGCCUUCGGGUUGUAAAGCUCUUUCGCACGCGACGAUGAUGACGGUAGCGUGAGAAGAAGCCCCGGCUAACUUCGUGCCAGCAGCCGCGGUAAUACGAAGGGGGCUAGCGUUGUUCGGAAUUACUGGGCGUAAAGGGCGCGUAGGCGGUACUUCAAGUCAGGCGUGAAAGCCCCGGGCUCAACCUGGGAACCGCGCUUGAGACUGGAGAACUAGAGUUCGGGAGAGGAUGGUGGAAUUCCCAGUGUAGAGGUGAAAUUCGUAGAUAUUGGGAAGAACACCGAUGGCGAAGGCAGCCAUCUGGACCGACACUGACGCUGAGGCGCGAA
This 385-nucleotide ribosomal RNA is filed under the name uncultured bacterium. RNAcentral's name for it is "bacterial SSU rRNA". It matches the Rfam family "Bacterial small subunit ribosomal RNA", at positions 355 to 757 of the family's 1533-position model. The record is from RNAcentral.